CUGAUGCUGUGAUGAUCCCAUAGUUCAGCAGAUACCCAUGACGAUGAACCAUGUCUUUCGCUCCUAUCUGAUGCAUCCA
Cynoglossus semilaevis (tongue sole) is the source of this 79-nucleotide small nucleolar RNA. Ensembl annotates it as small nucleolar RNA snR60/Z15/Z230/Z193/J17. Lineage: Eukaryota; Metazoa; Chordata; Actinopteri; Pleuronectiformes; Cynoglossidae. The record is from Ensembl.